CCUACGGGGGACAGCAGUGGGGGAUAUUGCACAAUGGGGGAAACCCUGAUGCAGCGACGCCGCGUGAGUGAAGAAGUAUUUCGGUAUGUAAAGCUCUAUUUGCAGGGAAGAAAAUGACAGUACCUGACCAAGAAGCCCCGGCUAACUACGUGCCAGCAGCCGCGGCAACACGUAGGGGGCAAGCGUUAUCCGGAUUGACUGGGUGUAAAGGGAGCGUAGUCGGUUAUGUAAGUCUGGGGUGAAAGCCCGGGGCUCAACCCCGGGACUGCUUUGGAAACUGUGUGACUGGAGUACAGGAGGGGCAGGCGGAAUGCCUGGUGUAGCGGUGAAAUGCGUAGAGAUCAGGAAGAACACCGACGGCGAAGGCAGCCUGCUGGACUGAGACUGACGUUGAGGCACGAAAGCGUGGGGAGCAAACAGGAUUAGAUACCCCAGUAGUC
Molecule: ribosomal RNA, 440 nt
Filed under: uncultured bacterium
Lineage: Bacteria
Description: partial 16S ribosomal RNA
Rfam family: Bacterial small subunit ribosomal RNA
Source: RNAcentral